RNAcentral lists this ribosomal RNA (301 nucleotides) under uncultured bacterium. RNAcentral describes it as "partial 16S ribosomal RNA". It matches the Rfam family "Bacterial small subunit ribosomal RNA", at positions 509 to 807 of the family's 1533-position model. The record is from RNAcentral.
CAGCAGCCGCGGUAAUACGAAGGGGGCUAGCGUUGCUCGGAAUUACUGGGCGUAAAGGGAGCGUAGGCGGACAUUUAAGUCAGGGGUGAAAUCCCAGAGCUCAACUCUGGAACUGCCUUUGAUACUGGGUGUCUUGAGUGUGAUAGAGGUAUGUGGAACUCCGAGUGUAGAGGUGAAAUUCGUAGAUAUUCGGAAGAACACCAGUGGCGAAGGCGACAUACUGGAUCAUUACUGACGCUGAGGCUCGAAAGCGUGGGGAGCAAACAGGAUUAGAUACCCCAGUAGUCCCUGUCUCUUAUAC